GUACCGUGCCGUAGGUAACACUUUAAGUACCCCGCCUGGGGAGUACGGCCGCAAGGCUAAAACUCAAAGGAAUUGACGGGGCCCCGCACAAGCGGCGGAGCAUGCGGAUUAAUUUGAUGCAACGCGUAGAACCUUACCUGGGUUUGACAUGGAUCGGGAGCGCUCAGAGAUGGGUGUGCCUCUUUUGGGGUCGGUUCACAGGUGGUGCAUGGCUGUCGUCAGCUCGUGUCGUGAGAUGUUGGGUUAAGUCCCGCAACGAGCGCAACCCUUGUUCACUGUUGCCAGCACGUUAUGGUGGGGACUCAGUGGAGACCGCCGGGGUCAACUCGGAGGAAGGUGGGGAUGACGUCAAGUCAUCAUGCCCCUUAUGUCCAGGGCUUCACGCAUGCUACAAUGGCUGGUACAGAGAGUGGCGAGCCUGUGAGGGUGAGCGAAUCUCGGAAAGCCGGUCUCAGUUCGGAUUGGGGUCUGCAACUCGACCUCAUGAAGUCGGAGUCGCUAGUAAUCGCAGAUCAGCAACGCUGCGGUGAAUACGUUCCCGGGGCUUGUACACACCGCCCGUCAAGUCAUGAAAGUUGGUAACACCCGAAGCCGGUGGCCUAACCGUUGUGGGGGAGC
Molecule: ribosomal RNA, 618 nt
Filed under: Cutibacterium acnes
Lineage: Bacteria; Bacillati; Actinomycetota; Actinomycetes; Propionibacteriales; Propionibacteriaceae
Description: bacterial SSU rRNA
Rfam family: Bacterial small subunit ribosomal RNA
Source: RNAcentral